AUCCAGCUGACGAGUCUCACAUAGGACAAAACGCACGUGCUGGAU
Molecule: non-coding RNA, 45 nt
Filed under: Schistosoma mansoni
Lineage: Eukaryota; Metazoa; Platyhelminthes; Trematoda; Strigeidida; Schistosomatidae
Source: RNAcentral